This 56-nucleotide transfer RNA is filed under the name Litomosoides sigmodontis. Its description in RNAcentral is "tRNA-Ser1". Lineage: Eukaryota; Metazoa; Nematoda; Chromadorea; Rhabditida; Onchocercidae. The record is from RNAcentral.
GACAAGUUAUAUUUAGUCUUCUAAACUAUGGUUGAAAGAGGUUCUUUCACUUGUUU